GGUGGAGUGAUUUGUCUGGUUAAUUCCGAUAACGAACGAGACUCUAGCCUGCUAACUAGUUCGCCGGCAGCUCUUGUCGCGCGGCGCCGCUUCGGCGGCAAACUUCUUAGAGGGACAGGUGGCGUUUAGCCACACGAAGUAGAGCAAUAACAGGUCUGUGAUGCCCUUAGAUGUCCGGGGCCGCACGCGCGCUACACUGAAAGAAUCAACGUGGAUGCCCACCUGCUCCGAGAGGAGUGGGAAACCCGAUGAAUCUCUUUCGUGAUGGGGAUUGGGGCUUGUAAUUGUUCCCCAUGAACGAGGAAUUCCUAGUAAGCGUCAGUCAUCAGCUGGCGCUGAUUAC
RNAcentral lists this ribosomal RNA (343 nucleotides) under Lepetodrilus atlanticus. Its description in RNAcentral is "SSU rRNA". It matches the Rfam family "Eukaryotic small subunit ribosomal RNA", at positions 1300 to 1648 of the family's 1831-position model. Lineage: Eukaryota; Metazoa; Mollusca; Gastropoda; Lepetellida; Lepetodrilidae. The record is from RNAcentral.